ACUAUUUUGGCAGAGAAGUGCCAUGAAUUUAGAAUUCAUAAAUAUAGGUAAAUCCUAUAAAUAGUAC
Molecule: transfer RNA, 67 nt
Filed under: Trithemis dichroa
Lineage: Eukaryota; Metazoa; Arthropoda; Insecta; Odonata; Libellulidae
Description: tRNA-Leu
Rfam family: tRNA
About the family: Transfer RNA (tRNA) molecules are approximately 80 nucleotides in length. Their secondary structure includes four short double-helical elements and three loops (D, anti-codon, and T loops). Further hydrogen bonds mediate the characteristic L-shaped molecular structure. tRNAs have two regions of fundamental functional importance: the anti-codon, which is responsible for specific mRNA codon recognition, and the 3' end, to which the tRNAs corresponding amino acid is attached (by aminoacyl-tRNA synthetases). tRNAs cope with the degeneracy of the genetic code in two manners: having more than one tRNA (with a specific anti-codon) for a particular amino acid; and 'wobble' base-pairing, i.e. permitting non-standard base-pairing at the 3rd anti-codon position.
Source: RNAcentral